Non-coding RNA from Pelobates cultripes (western spadefoot toad), 397 nucleotides. Lineage: Eukaryota; Metazoa; Chordata; Amphibia; Anura; Pelobatidae. The record is from the annotation of a GenBank genome assembly.
GUAUGAAUGGACAGGUUAUUGACAUUGUGUUAUGGUUUUAAAACAAACCAUAAACAGAGGGAAUGUAGAAUAUUGCAUAUUCUAUGUUUCUAUUGAUUAUAUAUAAUGGAUGUGUGGAUUGACAUAAGUAACAGAUGGUAUCAAUAAGUCACAAGGCUUUCUUUGUCCGAGAGCUCUGGAAUGUGGAUUCGGGGGUCUUUUCCUUAUAUGGCUAGAGUUAAACGCUGACGUUAGUAUUAGCACUUCUAUAUAGUAACAGAGGGACACGAGGUCUCUCUUGGCUUGGCUCUUGGCUCUGUACAACGAUGUAACUCUCCCAUCAGAAGUCCAGCAAUUACCAUCUGCUGUUGAAUGUACAUAAUCCUGUAACAUCAUUUAUUAUGUUUUAUUAUGUAGC